CAGCAGCCGCGGUAAUACAGAGGGUGCGAGCGUUAAUCGGAUUUACUGUGCGUAAAGCGUGCGUAGGCGGCUUCUUAAGUCGGAUGUGAAAUCCCUGAGCUUAACUUAGGAAUUGCAUUCGAUACUGGGAAGCUAGAGUAUGGGAGAGGAUGGUAGAAUUCCAGGUGUAGCGGUGAAAUGCGUAGAGAUCUGGAGGAAUACCGAUGGCGAAGGCAGCCAUCUGGCCUAAUACUGACGCUGAGGUACGAAAGCAUGGGGAGCAAACAGGAUUAGAUACCCGUGUAGUCCCUGUCUCUUAUAC
RNAcentral lists this ribosomal RNA (301 nucleotides) under uncultured bacterium. Its description in RNAcentral is "partial 16S ribosomal RNA". It matches the Rfam family "Bacterial small subunit ribosomal RNA", at positions 509 to 807 of the family's 1533-position model. The record is from RNAcentral.